This 3204-nucleotide long non-coding RNA is filed under the name Sus scrofa (pig). Its description in RNAcentral is "lncRNA (ENSSSCG00005028022.1)". Lineage: Eukaryota; Metazoa; Chordata; Mammalia; Artiodactyla; Suidae. The record is from RNAcentral.
GCUCCCGAAGCUCUGCCAGGAGCCGGGAUCAAAUCCAGGGUUCGUUUCCAGGAGUCGUUGGCUUUCCUUUACCCCAUUUCCCCCCCCCCCCCCCUGCCCAGGGCCAGCGCCCUUCCCUGGGCCGCACCUGCUGCUUCUGCCGAGGGCGGUGUCCUAGGCUCUGGGCUGGCGUCCUGGGCAGCCGUCUGGGGGUUCCUGCUGGUGCUCAGGGCGCUUCUCACCGCAGGAAGCGCCGAAGCUGUUCCCCGCUUCAACCCAGGGACUGUCACAGAGGACACGACCCCCCCCCUCCCAGGGAGCUGGCGCGCUGGGGGUGGCGUCCGGGUACCUCCGUGGUCCCAGUCCGAGGGGCCUUCUGUGGUCGGGGUGCGUUCCCCGGGGACCUCCGUGUCGAAGGUGGCUCUCUACCCCUCGCGGCCGCCGCAGCCUGGCAUUCAGCGUCAAGGCCUCGGCACCGGGCCGCGUCUGCCUUUCUGGUCUUCCUUCCUGACCCCCUUCACGUGCCCCCCGUGCCGGCCUGCGGGAACCUGCUGCGUCCACCUGUCCACCCGGGCCUCGCUGGUUUUCUUCCCGUGAAGGGAGAGUGCAGUGACGUGGAAACAAAGUCGCUUAGACACGAGGAAUCAGGCUCUGGUUCAGCUCCAGCCGGGCGGUGGGCGGAGGAGGGGGGUCCCUCACACACCCAAGCCACUCUCCGGCCCUGCGGGCGUCCCAGCAUUCAGCUCAGGGCGGCUGUGCCGGGGCCUCGCACCCAACAUGUGUUUCCAGAAGGAAACUGGACCCAGGCGGCCAGUUCGGGUCGGAAGCCCCAGUUCGGGGAGAGCCCACGUGUCUCAUAUUCUUUGCACAAGAGACUCAUUCUCCUUGACUCGGCUCAGAAAGAGUGAGCAGUGCUUGCACUUCAGGGGUCGAGCGAGGCCCCUUCUCUGACGACCUUUUUCCUAGAUCGAGGGUGGCUUUUUUGAAAAGGGCAAAUCUUUUAGGUUUAUGGCACCUAAGGAUUUAAAAUAUAGUAACUAUUUAGGCUCGUGGUGCUCCAUGCUCUGUGCCAACGACUAGGCGCCGUCGUCUCACGCGGGAAAGUGGCUCCGGUGGUUUCUAGUGACCGCGGGGCUGUGGGCUGGUGAAGCUGUGUUUACCAGACAGUUUCCUGCUUUGUCUUGAACUUGAAGGGUGGCUGUUGGCCCAUGAACUUGGUAACUCCCCCCCACACACUCUCUUGGCUCCUGUAUCACAUGGUCAGUUUCCAUGUAGCUUUAACUAAAAGUACCACUUAUCUCUUGCCUCUGGUAUUGGCAUUCUCCGUCUUUUUAUCUUGAUGUCUUCAUGGAUGGGUUGGAUUUCCUGGGUGGAUAAUACAGACGCAGGGUCUAAGCUGCAAACCUAAGAGAAGAGCUUGGGACAAAUCAGCCCCUCUGGCCUGCCCUCCGGCUGACAGCCCCUCCCAGGAGCCCUCCCCUCCCAGGACCCCCUCCCUUCCCUAGAGCCCCUCCCCUCCCAGGACCCCUUCCCCUGCUGCAGACCGCCCCCUCCCUGGAGCCCCUCCCCUCCCAGGAGGCCUGUUGCACCCGGCUGGCAAGGAGCACGCUAAGGAGAGUGACAGCAGGGUGGGUAAAGCCGGCGCCCACACUGGUGGUUUCUUUUUUUCAUGGGUUUGAAGCAAGGGCUUUCUCCCUCUUAAAGUCCAGGAUAGAGCCCGGCUGUCCUGAGAACCCAGUGAGCGGACCCAGAGGCUCUGGGCUGCGGUGCCUCCCGUCUCGGGCCGGGCCAGCAUGCUGGGGCUGUGCAUCCAUCAGGGAUCAGAAGCCGUUUCAGGCAGCUCAGCGUUACCCAGGUCACACCUCAGCCCUGCAGCCGCCGUGGGUCCACCCGGCGCUGCUCAGGCUGCUCGCGGCCGUGUUGCCGCCCCGAGUGGCAGCUGCUGCAGGCAGAGCGCCUUCCAGGGCCCGCAGCUAUUCUGAGUCCCUGCUAUCUUUAGCCGGUGCGUCAGGCCACCCUGAGGCCAGCAGGCCACCUCCUCCUAGGAGGUUUCAGGAAGUGUGAAGUCGCCUCCCUGCCCCUUUGAAAGUCGGCAAAGGGAACUGGAAAGCUGCAGUUUGGGCCAAUCACGGGUCUGAUUUGAAGCAAACUGGGAAAAACAGUCCCUCUUUGAGGGCUCAGGAUUCAGGCAGCCAGCUCCUCAGGUGUAGCCGUAGUGCGCUGUCCCCGUCGGCCAGAGCUUUCCUGAGAGAAUUCAGGCCUGGUCCCAGCCCGGGGUCUGGGUGGGAUGCGGAGCCUCCCGCAGAGGCCUCUUCGGUUUCCGGGCGUGUGUUCCUGACGCUGCGGGGGAGUUUCCUCAAAGGGAAGUAAGAUCGUCGUCCGGAAACGGAAGCGUAGACGGUGGGCCGAGCAGAUGUCACUCGGGGCCACUCCAGGGCCAAGUGGCGAAUGCCGCCGCGUCGCCCAUCGCUGGACCCGCGGCGGCCGCCAUUCCUUCCCCCGCUCCGUCGCCCGGUUUUCCCGAGCCGUGGGGAAGGAUGAGGCGGCAGGUCCCUGAUCCUUAGCGGCCGCAGAUCAAGGUCCUUGGGCCCAGGGCUCGGUCAUGUCCUGGCCGCUCCUCCAUUUACGUGUGGUGUCUACUCUCUCAGCCUCAGGGUGUCGGGUUAACUCCUCACACGCUGUCUCCGUGGUAAAGGCCUGGGGGGGGGUGCACAUGGAAAUUAGACACAGGAUACUGGGCCCCCAUGCUGUUUUAGGGUGGGGGCUGCGGAGGUGGUCCAACACCCUACUCUCAGGUGGGCUCACACCCCUACUCACAGGUGGGCUCACACCCUACUCACAGGUAGGCUCACACCCCUAAUCUCAGGUGGACUCACACCCCUACUCUCAGGUGGGCCCACACCCUACUCACAGGUGGGUUCACACCCCUACUCACAGGUGGGUUCACACCCUACUCACAGGUGGGCUCACACCCCUGCUCUCAGGUGGACUCACACCCGUACUCACAGGUGGGCUCACACCCCUACUCACAGGUGGGCUCACACCCCUGCUCUCAGGUGGGUUCACACCCUACUCACAGGUGGGCUCACACCCUACUCACAGGUGGGCUCACACCCCUACUCUCAGGUGGACUCACACCCCUACUCUCAGGUGGGCCCACACCCUACUCACAGGUGGGUUCACACCCCUACUCACAGGUGGGUUCACACCCUACUCACAGGUGGC